AGGGUGAAAGCCCCGUACACGAAAGGCCAUUUUAAAUGAAAUCGAGUAGGUCGGGACACGAGAAAUCUUGACUGAACCGUCUUCGGACAAGGGGGGACCAUCCUCCAAGGCUAAAUACUCCUGACUGACCGAUAGUGAACCAGUACCGUGAGGGAAAGGCGAAAAGAACCCCUUUGAGGGGAGUGAAAUAGACCCUGAAACCGUGUACGUACAAGCAGUGGGAGCCCCGCUACUUAAUCAUUCUGGGAGCUUUAUGUAUUACUUUUAUGUUUUACAAAAUGAACAAGGUGAUUUUUAUAUGGGUUAUAGCUCUGAUCUUAAAUAAAGAUUGAGAGAUCAUAACUCUGGUAGAAAUUCUUCUACGAAAUUACAUUCGUGGAACGUUGUUUAUUACGAAGCUUACUUAAGUGAGAAAGUAGCAAGAGAUCGUGAGCGAAAAUUAAAAGCACAUGGUCGAUCAUGGCAGCUACUUCUAGAACGCAUUAAAGCACAGUUCUAGUGUGAUUAAGUAGCGGGGUGACUGCGUACCUUUUGUAUAAUGGGUCAGCGACUUACAUUCUGUGGCAAGGUUAACCGUAUAGGGUAGCCGUAGGGAAACCGAGUCUUAAUAGGGCGAAGAAGUCUUUAACGAGACAAAGAGUCGCGGGGUGUAGACCCGAAACCGAGCGAUCUAGCCAUGAGCAGGUUGAAGAUCAGGUAACACUGAUUGGAGGACCGAACCCACCUAUGUUGAAAAAUGGGGGGAUGACUUGUGGCUAGGAGUGAAAGGCUAAUCAAGCUCGGAGAUAGCUGGUUCUCCUCGAAAGCUAUUUAGGUAGCGCCUCGUGUAUCACCAUUGGGGGUAGAGCACUGUUUGGGCUAGGGGGUCAUCCCGACUUACCAACCCCAUACAAACUCCGAAUACCAAUGAGUGCAAUCACGGGAGACACACGGCGGGUGCUAACGUCCGUCGUGGAAAGGGAAACAACCCAGACCGUCAGCUAAGGUCCCAAAGUAACAGUUAAGUGGGAAACGAUGUGAGAAGGCCCAGACAGCCAGGAGGUUGGCUUAGAAGCAGCCAUCCUUUAAAGAAAGCGUAAUAGCUCACUGGUCGAGUCGGCUCGCGCGGAAGAUGUAACGGGGCUCAAACUGUUCACCGAAGCUACGGGUUUCAGUGGUCAGUUUUCAGUUGUCAGUUAGCAGUAUGAGAAGCAAAACAUGCAGGGAUUUGAACAAUUAGAGGUAUUUCAGCGUGCUUGUAAGCUUUCUUUGAAAGUUCAUAAGUUGACGUUGCAGUUUCCGAAGAUUGAGCAAAUGCGUGGUCUUGCUGAUCAAAUGCGCAGAGCCAGUAAAGGUAUCUGUGCAAAUAUUGCUGAAGGACACGGAAAACGGGUCAUCUCAAAAGCAGAGUUCCGAAGGUUCAUAUUAAUGGCCGUUGGAUCAUCUGAUGAAAUGAGAGUUUGGUUAAGAGACUCCCUUGACCUCGAUUAUAUUGAGGAAAACCAAUGGGAGCAUUUAAAAACCGAAUACAGUCAGAUCAGUAAAAUGUUGAUGGGUUUGCACAAGAGUUAUCAAUAACUCAAAGCAAAACUGACCACCGACAACUGAAAACUGACCACUGAGGCGGUAGAGGAGCGUCCUGUAAGCCGUUGAAGGUCAAGCCGGGAGGCAGGCUGGAGGUAUCAGGAGUGCGAAUGCUGACAUGAGUAACGAUAAAGGGGGUGAGAGGCCCCCUCGCCGGAAGACCAAGGUUUCCUGCGCAACGCUAAUCGGCGCAGGGUGAGUCGGCCCCUAAGGUGAGGUCGAAAGACGUAAUCGAUGGGAAACGGAUUAAUAUUUCCGUACCCCUUUUGACUGCGACGGAGUGACGGAGAAGGCUAGGCCAGCAGGGCGAUGGUUGUCCUUGUUUAAGGUCGUAGGCUGAGGGUUCAGGCAAAUCCGGACCCUCAAAGCUGAGAACCGAUGACGACUGAUCUUUUUAGAUCGGGAAGUGGUCGAUGCCAAGCUUCCAGGAAAAACUUCUAAGCUUCAGGUCAAAAGGGACCGUACCCCAAACCGACACAGGUGGUCAGGUAGAGAAUACCCAGGCGCUUGAGAGAACUCGGGUGAAGGAACUAGGCAAAAUGGUACCGUAACUUCGGGAGAAGGUACGCUCCUGCCGGUGAUGGGACUUGCUCCCUAAGCUGGCGGGAGUCGCAGAGACCAGUUGGCUGCGACUGUUUAUUAAAAACACAGCACUCUGCAAACACGAAAGUGGACGUAUAGGGUGUGACGCCUGCCCGGUGCCGGAAGGUUAAUUGAUGGGGUUAUCUUCGGAGAAGCUCUUGAUCGAAGCCCCGGUAAACGGCGGCCGUAACUAUAACGGUCCUAAGGUAGCGAAAUUCCUUGUCGGGUAAGUUCCGACCUGCACGAAUGGCGUAACGAUGGCCAAGCUGUCUCCACCCGAGACUCAGUGAAAUUGAAAUCGCUGUUAAGAUGCAGUGUAUCCGCGGCUAGACGGAAAGACCCCGUGAACCUUUACUAUAGCUUCACAGUGGAUCUUGAUGUUGCUUGUGUAGGAUAGGUGGGAGGCUUUGAAGCAUGGACGCCAGUCUGUGUGGAGCCAACCUUGAAAUACCACCCUGGCAACAUUGAGGUUCUAACCCAGGUCCUUUAUCAGGAUCGGGGACAUUGUGUGGUGGGUAGUUUGACUGGGGCGGUCUCCUCCCAAAGAGUAACGGAGGAGCACGAAGGUGCGCUAAGUACGGUCGGACAUCGUACGGUUAGUGUAAAGGCACAAGCGCGCUUGACUGCGAGACGGACAGGUCGAGCAGGUACGAAAGUAGGUCUUAGUGAUCCGGUGGUUCUGUAUGGAAGGGCCAUCGCUCAACGGAUAAAAGGUACUCCGGGGAUAACAGGCUGAUACCGCCCAAGAGUUCACUGAAGCCGGUCCCAAGGGUAUGGCUGUUCGCCAUUUAAAGUGGUACGCGAGCUGGGUUUAGAACGUCGUGAGACAGUUCGGUCCCUAUCUGCCGUGGACGUUGGACGUUUGAGAAGAGCUGCUCCUAGUACGAGAGGACCGGAGUGGACGAACCACUGGUGUUCGGGUUGUGUCGCCAGACGCAUUGCCCGGUAGCUACGUUCGGACGGGAUAACCGCUGAAAGCAUCUAAGCGGGAAGCCCCCUUCAAGAUGAGACGUCCCUGACUCCUUGAGAGUCCUGAAGAGCCGUCAAAGACUAUGACGUUGAUAGGCUGGGUGUGUAAGCGCUGUGAGGCGUUGAGCUAACCAGUACUAAUGACUCGUGCGGCUUGAUCAU
Molecule: ribosomal RNA, 3276 nt
Filed under: Endozoicomonas sp.
Lineage: Bacteria; Pseudomonadati; Pseudomonadota; Gammaproteobacteria; Oceanospirillales; Endozoicomonadaceae
Description: partial 23S ribosomal RNA
Rfam family: Bacterial large subunit ribosomal RNA
Source: RNAcentral